Molecule: ribosomal RNA, 430 nt
Filed under: Acidobacteriota bacterium
Lineage: Bacteria; Pseudomonadati; Acidobacteriota
Description: Acidobacteria bacterium partial 16S ribosomal RNA
Rfam family: Bacterial small subunit ribosomal RNA
Source: RNAcentral
UGGGGGAUAUUGGACAAUGGGCGCAAGCCUGAUCCAGCCAUGCCGCGUGUGUGAAGAAGGCCUUUUGGUUGUAAAGCACUUUAAGCGAGGAGGAGGCUACUUGGAUUAAUACUCUAGGAUAGUGGACGUUACUCGCAGAAUAAGCACCGGCUAACUCUGUGCCAGCAGCCGCGGUAAUACAGAGGGUGCGAGCGUUAAUCGGAUUUACUGGGCGUAAAGCGUGCGUAGGCGGCUUUUUAAGUCGGAUGUGAAAUCCCUGAGCUUAACUUAGGAAUUGCAUUCGAUACUGGGAAGCUAGAGUAUGGGAGAGGAUGGUAGAAUUCCAGGUGUAGCGGUGAAAUGCGUAGAGAUCUGGAGGAAUACCGAUGGCGAAGGCAGCCAUCUGGCCUAAUACUGACGCUGAGGUACGAAAGCAUGGGGAGCAAACAGG